CAGAGAAUAGUUUAAUUAAAAUAUUAAUUUUGGAGAUUAAAGAUAAAAGUAUAUUUUUUCUCUGA
Molecule: transfer RNA, 65 nt
Filed under: Hydroporus brevis
Lineage: Eukaryota; Metazoa; Arthropoda; Insecta; Coleoptera; Dytiscidae
Description: tRNA-Pro
Source: RNAcentral